Molecule: ribosomal RNA, 484 nt
Filed under: uncultured bacterium
Lineage: Bacteria
Description: partial 16S ribosomal RNA
Rfam family: Bacterial small subunit ribosomal RNA
Source: RNAcentral
AUUGAACGCUGGCGGCAUGCUUUACACAUGCAAGUCGAACGGCAGCGCGGGCUUCGGCCUGGCGGCGAGUGGCGAACGGGUGAGUAAUGCAUCGGAACGUGCCCAGUAGUGGGGGAUAGCCCGGCGAAAGCCGGAUUAAUACCGCAUACGACCUGAGGGUGAAAGCGGGGGGCCGAAAGGCCUCGCGCUAUGGGAGGGGCCGAUGUCGGGUUAGCUAGUUGGUGGGGUAAAGGCUUACCUAGGCGACGAUCCGUAGCUGGUCUGAGAGGACGACCAGCCACACUGGGACUGAGCCACGGCCCAGACUCCUACGGGAGGCAGCAGUGGGGAAUUUUGGACAAUGGGGGCAACCCUGGUCCAGCCAUGCCGCGUGCGGGAAGAAGGCCUUCGGGUUGUAAACCGCUUUUGUUCGGGAAGAAAUCCUCUGGGCUAAUACCCCGGGGGGAUGACGGUACCGGAAGAAUAAGCACCGGCUAACUACGUG